RNAcentral lists this long non-coding RNA (228 nucleotides) under Homo sapiens (human). Its description in RNAcentral is "HSALNT0282907". The record is from RNAcentral. Lineage: Eukaryota; Metazoa; Chordata; Mammalia; Primates; Hominidae.
GGCAUUUCAAACAGCUUGGAACUCUUGUAUUCCUGGCAUCCUCUGUGAGGUCCAGCAGCCCGGUGAUGAACAACCUCAACAAGAGACACCACCACCUAAAAGUUGGAAUAUUUCUUCCGUUCAAGAGAAAGGAGAUGAAGAAAUAUCUGUGGUUCAAAGUGAAAAGAAGGGGAAGAAGAAUGCCUAUGGAUGGAGGUUUAUGUGUGCAUCAUGCAUUAUGACAGAUCA